UACAGAGGGGGCAAGCGUUGUUCGGAAUUACUGGGCGUAAAGGGCGCGUAGGCGGCCCGCUAAGUCGAACGUGAAAUCCCCAGGCUCAACCUGGGAACUGCGUCCGAUACUGGCAGGCUUGAAUCCGGGAGAGGGAUGUGGAAUUCCAGGUGUAGCGGUGAAAUGCGUAGAUAUCUGGAGGAACACCGGUGGCGAAGGCGGCCUUCUGGACAGCAACUGACGCUGAGACGCGAAAGCGUGGGGAGCAAACAGG
RNAcentral lists this ribosomal RNA (253 nucleotides) under uncultured bacterium. RNAcentral describes it as "partial 16S ribosomal RNA". It matches the Rfam family "Bacterial small subunit ribosomal RNA", at positions 524 to 776 of the family's 1533-position model. The record is from RNAcentral.